GACGAACGCUGGCGGCGUGCCUAAUACAUGCAAGUAGAACGCACAGUUUAUACCGUAGUUUGCUACACCAUAAACUGUGAGUUGCGAACGGGUGAGUAAUGCGUAGGUAAUCUGCCUGGUAGCGGGGGAUAACUAUUGGAAACGAUAGCUAAUACCGCAUAAUAUUAAUUAUUGCAUGAUAAUUGAUUGAAAGAUGCAAUUGCAUCACCACCAUCUGGACCUGCGUUGUAUUAGCUAGUAGGUGAGGUAACGGCUCACCUAGGCGGCGAUACAUAGCCGACCUGAGAGGGUGAUCGGCCACACUGGGACUGAGACACGGCCCAGACUCCUACGGGAGGCAGCAGUAGGGAAUCUUCGGCAAUGGACGAAAGUCUGACCGAGCAACGCCGCGUGGGUGAAGAAGGUUUUCGGAUCGUAAAGCUCUGUUGUAAGAGAAGAACAGGUGGGAGAGUGGAAAGUUCACUCUGUGACGGUAUCUUACCAGAAAGGGACGGCUAACUACGUG
This 505-nucleotide ribosomal RNA is filed under the name uncultured bacterium. RNAcentral's name for it is "partial 16S ribosomal RNA". It matches the Rfam family "Bacterial small subunit ribosomal RNA", at positions 28 to 507 of the family's 1533-position model. The record is from RNAcentral.